Molecule: ribosomal RNA, 323 nt
Filed under: uncultured eukaryote
Lineage: Eukaryota
Description: partial 18S ribosomal RNA
Rfam family: Eukaryotic small subunit ribosomal RNA
Source: RNAcentral
CCCUUAGAUGUUCUGGGCCGCACGCGUGCUACACUGAACGGUUCAAUGGGUAAGGUAGUGCGAAAGCAUGACCUAAUCUCGAAAUCCGUUCGUGCUGGGGAUAGAAGCUUGCAAUUAUCCUUCUUGAACGAGGAAUACCUUGUAAGCGUGCGUCAUCAUCUCACGCUGAAUACGUCCCUGCCCUUUGUACACACCGCCCGUCGCUCCUACCGAUUGAGUGUUCCGGUGAGGCUUUGGGAGAAUGGCCUCAACAUGAGUUUAUCGUGUUUUGCCGUUUGAACUUAGUCAAACCUUAUCACUUAGAGGAAGGAGAAGUCGUAACA